Seminavis robusta is the source of this 74-nucleotide non-coding RNA. The record is from the annotation of a GenBank genome assembly. NCBI's taxonomy places the organism in Eukaryota, Bacillariophyta, Bacillariophyceae, Naviculales, Naviculaceae.
GCUCUGGUGGUCUAGUUGGUUAUGACGCCGCCUUCACACGGCGGAGGUCCCGGGUUCAACUCCCGGCUGGAGUA